AUUGAACGCUGGCGGCAUGCCUUACACAUGCAAGUCGAACGCGAAAGGGGGGCAACCCCGAGUAGAGUGGCGAACGGGUGAGCAAUACAUCGGAACACGUCCUGUAGCGGGGGACAACCUCGAGAAAUCGAGGCUAAUACCGCAUACGAUCUACGGAUGAAAGUGGGGGACCNCAAGGCCCCACACUAUAGGAGUGGCCGAUGCCGGAUUAGCUUGUUGGCGGGGUAAAANCCCACCAAGGCGACGAUCCGUAGCUGGUUUGAGAGAACGACCAGCCACACUGGGACUGAGACACGGCCCAGGCUCCUACGGGAGGCAGCAGUGGGGAAUCUUGCGCAAUGGGCGAAAGCCUGACGCAGCGACG
This 364-nucleotide ribosomal RNA is filed under the name uncultured bacterium. RNAcentral describes it as "bacterial SSU rRNA". It matches the Rfam family "Bacterial small subunit ribosomal RNA", at positions 29 to 396 of the family's 1533-position model. The record is from RNAcentral.